GGCGGGGUGGCAGAGUGGUUAUGCAGCGGCCUGCAAAGCCGCGUACGCCGGUUCGAUUCCGACCUCCGCCUCCA
RNAcentral lists this transfer RNA (74 nucleotides) under Burkholderiaceae bacterium. RNAcentral describes it as "tRNA-Cys". It matches the Rfam family "tRNA". From Rfam's summary of the family: Transfer RNA (tRNA) molecules are approximately 80 nucleotides in length. Their secondary structure includes four short double-helical elements and three loops (D, anti-codon, and T loops). Further hydrogen bonds mediate the characteristic L-shaped molecular structure. tRNAs have two regions of fundamental functional importance: the anti-codon, which is responsible for specific mRNA codon recognition, and the 3' end, to which the tRNAs corresponding amino acid is attached (by aminoacyl-tRNA synthetases). tRNAs cope with the degeneracy of the genetic code in two manners: having more than one tRNA (with a specific anti-codon) for a particular amino acid; and 'wobble' base-pairing, i.e. permitting non-standard base-pairing at the 3rd anti-codon position. The record is from RNAcentral. Lineage: Bacteria; Pseudomonadati; Pseudomonadota; Betaproteobacteria; Burkholderiales; Burkholderiaceae.